This 1347-nucleotide ribosomal RNA is filed under the name Arthrobacter sp. MM15(2011). Its description in RNAcentral is "16S ribosomal RNA". It matches the Rfam family "Bacterial small subunit ribosomal RNA", at positions 90 to 1446 of the family's 1533-position model. The record is from RNAcentral. Lineage: Bacteria; Bacillati; Actinomycetota; Actinomycetes; Micrococcales; Micrococcaceae.
GAUUAGUGGCGAACGGGUGAGUAACACGUGAGUAACCUGCCCUUGACUCUGGGAUAAGCCUGGGAAACUGGGUCUAAUACCGGAUAUGACCUUCCAUCGCAUGGUGGUUGGUGGAAAGCUUUUGUGGUUUUGGAUGGACUCGCGGCCUAUCAGCUUGUUGGUGGGGUAAUGGCCUACCAAGGCGACGACGGGUAGCCGGCCUGAGAGGGUGACCGGCCACACUGGGACUGAGACACGGCCCAGACUCCUACGGGAGGCAGCAGUGGGGAAUAUUGCACAAUGGGCGCAAGCCUGAUGCAGCGACGCCGCGUGAGGGAUGACGGCCUUCGGGUUGUAAACCUCUUUCAGUAGGGAAGAAGCGUAAGUGACGGUACCUGCAGAAGAAGCGCCGGCUAACUACGUGCCAGCAGCCGCGGUAAUACGUAGGGCGCAAGCGUUAUCCGGAAUUAUUGGGCGUAAAGAGCUCGUAGGCGGUUUGUCGCGUCUGCCGUGAAAGUCCGGGGCUCAACUCCGGAUCUGCGGUGGGUACGGGCAGACUAGAGUGAUGUAGGGGAGACUGGAAUUCCUGGUGUAGCGGUGAAAUGCGCAGAUAUCAGGAGGAACACCGAUGGCGAAGGCAGGUCUCUGGGCAUUAACUGACGCUGAGGAGCGAAAGCAUGGGGAGCGAACAGGAUUAGAUACCCUGGUAGUCCAUGCCGUAAACGUUGGGCACUAGGUGUGGGGGGACAUUCCACGUUUUCCGCGCCGUAGCUAACGCAUUAAGUGCCCCGCCUGGGGAGUACGGCCGCAAGGCUAAAACUCAAAGGAAUUGACGGGGGCCCGCACAAGCGGCGGAGCAUGCGGAUUAAUUCGAUGCAACGCGAAGAACCUUACCAAGGCUUGACAUGAACCGGAAAGAUCUGGAAACAGGUCCCCCACUUGUGGUCGGUUUACAGGUGGUGCAUGGUUGUCGUCAGCUCGUGUCGUGAGAUGUUGGGUUAAGUCCCGCAACGAGCGCAACCCUCGUUCUAUGUUGCCAGCACGUGAUGGUGGGGACUCAUAGGAGACUGCCGGGGUCAACUCGGAGGAAGGUGGGGACGACGUCAAAUCAUCAUGCCCCUUAUGUCUUGGGCUUCACGCAUGCUACAAUGGCCGGUACAAAGGGUUGCGAUACUGUGAGGUGGAGCUAAUCCCAAAAAGCCGGUCUCAGUUCGGAUUGGGGUCUGCAACUCGACCCCAUGAAGUCGGAGUCGCUAGUAAUCGCAGAUCAGCAACGCUGCGGUGAAUACGUUCCCGGGCCUUGUACACACCGCCCGUCAAGUCACGAAAGUUGGUAACACCCGAAGCCGGUGGCCUAACCCCUUGUGG